This 443-nucleotide ribosomal RNA is filed under the name uncultured bacterium. RNAcentral describes it as "partial 16S ribosomal RNA". It matches the Rfam family "Bacterial small subunit ribosomal RNA", at positions 338 to 795 of the family's 1533-position model. The record is from RNAcentral.
CCUACGGGGAGCAGCAGUGGGGAAUAUUGGGCAAUGGAGGAAACUCUGACCCAGCAACGCCGCGUGAAUGAUGAAGGUCUUCGGAUUGUAAAGUUCUUUUCUAAGGGAAGAAGAAAGUGACGGUACCGUAGGAAUAAGCCUCGGCUAACUACGUGCCAGCAGCCGCGGUAAUACGGAGGAGGCAAGCGUUAUCCGGAAUGACUGGGCGUAAAGGGUGCGUAGGUGGUUUGACAAGUUGGUAGCGUAACUCCGGGGCUCAACCUCGGCACUACUACCAAAACUGUCGGACUUGAGUGCAGGAGGGGCCAAUGGAAUUCCUAGUGUAGCGGUGGAAUGCGUAGAUAUUAGGAGGAACACCAGUGGCGAGGGCGAUUUGCUGGACUGUAACUGACACUGAGGCACGAAAGCGUGGGGAGCAAACAGGAUUAGAUACCCGGGUAGUC